AAUUCCAGGUGUAGCGGUGAAAUGCGUAGAGAUCUGGAGGAAUACCGGUGGCGAAGGCGGCCCCCUGGACAAAGACUGACGCUCAGGUGCGAAAGCGUGGGGAGCAAACAGGAUUAGAUACCCUGGUAGUCCACGCCGUAAACGAUGUCGAUUUGGAGGUUGUGCCCUUGAGGCGUGGCUUCCGGAGCUAACGCGUUAAAUCGACCGCCUGGGGAGUACGGCCGCAAGGUUAAAACUCAAAUGAAUUGACGGGGGCCCGCACAAGCGGUGGAGCAUGUGGUUUAAUUCGAUGCAACGCGAAGAACCUUACCUGGUCUUGACAUCCACAGAACUUAGCAGAGAUGCUUUGGUGCCUUCGGGAACUGUGAGACAGGUGCUGCAUGGCUGUCGUCAGCUCGUGUUGUGAAAUGUUGGGUUAAGUCCCGCAACGAGCGCAACCC
This 440-nucleotide ribosomal RNA is filed under the name Klebsiella quasipneumoniae. Its description in RNAcentral is "bacterial SSU rRNA". It matches the Rfam family "Bacterial small subunit ribosomal RNA", at positions 665 to 1104 of the family's 1533-position model. The record is from RNAcentral. Lineage: Bacteria; Pseudomonadati; Pseudomonadota; Gammaproteobacteria; Enterobacterales; Enterobacteriaceae.